AACGAACGCUGGCGGCAGGCUUAACACAUGCAAGUCGAGCGCCUCGCAAGAGGAGCGGCAGACGGGUGAGUAACGCGUGGGAACGUACCCUUAUCUUCGGAAUAGCUCUGGGAAACUGGAAGUAAUACCGAAUGUGCCCUUAGGGGGAAAGAUUUAUCGGAUAAGGAUCGGCCCGCGUUGGAUUAGCUAGUUGGUGGGGUAAAGGCCUACCAAGGCGACGAUCCAUAGCUGGUCUGAGAGGAUGAUCAGCCACAUUGGGGCUGAGACACGGCCCAAACUCCUACGGGAGGCAGCAGUGGGGAAUAUUGGACAAUGGGCGCAAGCCUGAUCCAGCCAUGCCGCGUGAGUGAUGAAGGCCUUAGGGUUGUAAAGCUCUUUCACCGGAGAAGAUAAUGACGGUAUCCGGAGAAGAAGCCCCGGCUAACUUCGUG
Molecule: ribosomal RNA, 431 nt
Filed under: uncultured bacterium
Lineage: Bacteria
Description: partial 16S ribosomal RNA
Rfam family: Bacterial small subunit ribosomal RNA
Source: RNAcentral